GACGAACGCUGGCGGCGUGCUUAACACAUGCAAGUCGAACGAGACGAUUGAAAGCUUGCUUUCGAAAGUCGAGUGGCAAACGGGUGAGUAACGCGUAGACAACCUGCCUUUGAGAUGGGGACAAUAGUUCGAAAGGACUGCUAAUACCGAAUGUUGUAUAUUCUCCACAUGGAAGAUAUAUUAAAGAUGGCCUCUAUUUAUAAGCUAUCGCUCAAAGAUGGGUCUGCGUCUGAUUAGCUGGUUGGUGGGGUAACGGCCUACCAAGGCGACGAUCAGUAGCCGGUCUGAGAGGAUGAACGGCCACAUUGGGACUGAGACACGGCCCAGACUCCUACGGGAGGCAGCAGUGGGGAAUCUUCCACAAUGGACGAAAGUCUGAUGGAGCAACGCCGCGUGAGUGAAGAAGGGUUUCGGCUCGUAAAGCUCUGUUGUCGGGGACGAAUGUGCAGUAUUUGAAUAAAGUACUGCAAUGACGGUACCUGACGAGGAAGCCACGGCUAACUACGUGCCAGCCGCCGCCGUAA
RNAcentral lists this ribosomal RNA (524 nucleotides) under uncultured bacterium. RNAcentral describes it as "partial 16S ribosomal RNA". It matches the Rfam family "Bacterial small subunit ribosomal RNA", at positions 28 to 523 of the family's 1533-position model. The record is from RNAcentral.